GGAGUUCAAGGCAAUAGUCAGUUCUUCUGAAGAUCUUCAGUCUAUGACUUGAAGGCAUUCCCCUACCUAAAAUUCCAGCGAAACAUUGCAGAAGUCAUAUGCCAGCUGCUCACUCACCAAAUUUAUCUCCUUUUCCUAGCUCUUUUGUGACAUUGAACAUUCCCACCAAGGCCCAGCUCCUUGGCCUGAACCCAUCUGGUGUGAGUUUCUGGAAGCAGAGGAACCUACAGGUUGAACUCUUCACUGGUGACAGGAACCAAGGACCAGAGCCACUGGGAGCUUUGUGUCUGCGCUGUCCCUUAUUGGGUUCCCUGGCUUCCCUGCUCACCAGGGAACAAUGCUUCUCAUUCACUGUUCAGAGUCAACAGAUUAGAAUGGGUGUCCGACAAAAGCCAGGCCCUGUGCUGGUCUAGUUCUAAGGGACCUUUUAUGAUGAGGCCUUUGUGCUUCUAGGACCAACGUACAUUUAGAGUUUGAACAAAGAAAUGAUGUACCUGCACUAACGGGAUUUCCAUAGGGUGUAAACAAGCCCCAAACAGCCCUCCCCAGUAAAAUAAAUAAUAGCAUGAUAUAUCUAAGGAUUCUUUUCUGUGCUAUUCCUAUUAGAACAGAAAACAAAGAACUGUGUAGACGGCCAGAGAACAGUAGGACAUCUGUUCUGGUGGGGCCAGCCAUCUCUGCAAUCCCUUGGAAAGAAAAACACUGAUGAUAAUUUUCAAGACGUGCUUCAAAAGCGUUCAAAUGGGUGAAAUCCUGGACGUACCUGGGAGUCUGAACCACACUGGGGAACCACAGACAGUCCAUCCUAUCUUCUUUCCCAUCAUGUUUUACCCAGUGUUUCCACAACUGUGAUGCCAACAGCGAGUUUCAGUAACUCAGAGUGAUGCUCUUUUGAAUCUAGUAGAUAUUUUUAAAAAUGAAAUUAAAAUAUUUAAAUGACAUACUCUCAUUCCAUUAUAUGGAGAUUGUAUUAACCACGUGACCCAGAUAUCCACUUAUAUUACAUAAAAUGUCUUGCUUUAGAGACAAUAUCAGUAUGGAUAGCAUCAAAAAAUAGCAAAAGCAAAUGUGUAACUAGGUUUGCAUGACCAGAAUUUAGGAGGUAGAGGUCUAUCCUAAGUCUUGGAUGCACUGACACUUGACUUUAAGCCAACACAAUUACUGUUAUGGUAUCAUAUAUUAAAAUAUUCUCAAUAAACACCUGGCUUAAAGCCCCAGCUAUGUGGUCUUGCUUAAGUAUUUUACUUGUACA
RNAcentral lists this long non-coding RNA (1252 nucleotides) under Ictidomys tridecemlineatus (thirteen-lined ground squirrel). RNAcentral describes it as "lncRNA (ENSSTOG00000029848.1)". Lineage: Eukaryota; Metazoa; Chordata; Mammalia; Rodentia; Sciuridae. The record is from RNAcentral.